This 837-nucleotide ribosomal RNA is filed under the name Triticum aestivum (bread wheat). Its description in RNAcentral is "partial small subunit ribosomal RNA". The record is from RNAcentral. Lineage: Eukaryota; Viridiplantae; Streptophyta; Magnoliopsida; Poales; Poaceae.
AUGCCUCGCUACGAUGACCGUUACGAUCGCUACGAUGACCGUUAUGAUCGUUACGACGACCGUUAUGAUCGCUAUAAUGACCGUUAUGAUCGGUAUGACCGAUAUGGUGGCAACACCAAGUUGUACGUGGGCCAUCUUUCUACGCACACCCGGACCAAGGAUGUUGAGUACCUUUUCGGCAGAUAUGGGAGAAUACGAUGUGUGGAGCUGAAGUAUGAUUAUGGCUUCGUUGAGUUUAGCGAUCCCCGGGAUGCAGAUGAUGCAAGGUAUGAGCUUGAUGGCCAAGAGAUUGAUGGGAGCCGUAUCAUUGUUGAGUUUGCAAGAGGGAUCCCGCGUGGCCCAGGAGGUUCCCGCGAGUACUUGGGCAGAGGACCCCCUCCUGGUUCUGGCCGCUGCUUUAACUGUGGGAUUGAUGGGCACUGGGCUCGUGACUGCAAUGCUGGCGACUGGAAAAAUAAGUGCUAUCGCUGUGGAGAAAAGGGCCAUAUAGAAAAAAACUGCCAAAACAGUCCUAAGAAUCUCAACUUUUGCAAAUACAGGCGGGGAAGAAGCUACUCACGCUCCCCACCACCUCAUCGCGAAAGGAGCCUAAGCAGGAGUUACAGCCGAUCGCCUUAUCCAAGGAGGGAUGAUCGUGCUGUUGGCCACGAGGAAAGGCGACCAAGAAGCUCUAGUUACAGCCCUAGGAGGAGUGCUUCACCUUCCGGUUUGAACCGCAGCCCAGCACCAAAUGGCAAGAGCCACCCACCAAGGGAGCAAGCUGAAGUCAAUGGUUCACAUAACGGUGUGAGAGGCAACAGCCUGAGUCCUGCCCGCGAUAGCCGCCCCUGGGAGUGA